Long non-coding RNA from Pseudopipra pipra, 1361 nucleotides. RefSeq lists it as uncharacterized. The transcript is spliced from 2 exons. The record is from RefSeq and is a predicted model, not a curated record. Lineage: Eukaryota; Metazoa; Chordata; Aves; Passeriformes; Pipridae.
AGGUGCUGGACAAGAGGGAGACUGGGUCAGGAAAUCUGGAGAGGAGUCUCUGUUCCCUCUGACCCUGACCUCGGCUCACUGGGAGCAGGGACAGGAGCCAGGGAAGGGCUGGAGCUGGGACAGGGCAGGCUCAGGGUGGAUCUCAGGACAAGGUUCUUCCCCCAGAGGGUGGUGGGCACUGCCCAGGCUCCCCAGGGCAGUGGGCACGGCCCCAAGGCUGCCAGAGCUCCAGGAGGGUUUGGACAACGCUCUGAGGGACAGGGGGGAUUGUUGGGGUGUCCUGGGCAGGGCCAGGAGUGUGACUUUGAUGAUCCUUGUGGGUCCCUCCCAGCUCAGGAUAUUCUGUUAUUCCCUGAUUAUUUCUGCUGCCAACACCCGCCUUGCUCCCAAGAGGGACCAGGAACAGAUGAGCAGGAUUGGAAAACUCAGCAUCUUUUCUGACCAGGUUGUGACAACCCAGCCAUAAGGGAAAGGGAGCAGCCGAGAGUUGUAAAUCCUUGUGGUGGGAAGAAGAGAAAAGAGUCAGAGAGUCCACAAACAAUUAGAGAGUUUUAUUAAACAUUUAUUGAUUUGUUGUUAUUGUUAUUGGUUAUUUGUUAUUAUAGUAUUAUUACUCGUUAUUAUAUUAUUUGUUAUUUCUAAUUUGCUGUUAGUACUGCUUGUUAUUAAUUUCUUGUGUCUGGGGUGUCACAAAGGUCUCUGGGCACCCCCAUGUCCCACAUCACAAAGGGCCCUGGAAGGCGCCAGUGUCACAAAAAGGGACACCCCCCGCAGUGGGAUCACCUGCUUAAAUUAGAACUUGUUUUAAGUAUUUCUUUUUUUAAGAAAGAAAAAAAGAGGAGACUAUAUCCUUUGUUUGGCGGCAAAAAAGUGCACUAAGUGGCAACACCACCAGUGGGGAGGGCAAUUUCCCAAUUCUAGGUGUUAACGCUGAGAAAAAUAAUACGACUCUUCUUUUUUUAUCGCCCCUUGACCUCCACGAAGCAGAAGGUUCCCCUCACACCGCCUGCAAAGGCUGCCGGGAUCUAAAUUCCACCUCGGCAACCUGAGGACGGGAAUAGUGGAAUUCUGCACGACACAAGACAUUCACACUGGCCAAGCACAGCAAGGCCCGUUAAGCCAUUCCCAGACCGCUUCCAUCCUGCUGUGCCCAGUCUCUGCUCAACACCAGGCUGAGCCCGUGCUCCUGCAACACCCAAAACUCCAAGUCUGAAACGCCAGCCUUUCUGCACAGUAUUUAUUUAUACACAAAACCAGUGCGUUUUGAUCACAUACAAGUUUUGAUCCUGCAAACUCAGAUUUAUAUAGUUUUAUUUUUUACAAAAAAUACAUUUUAACAAGUAAAUAAAAGCCAUUUCCAU